RNAcentral lists this unclassified non-coding RNA (424 nucleotides) under Turnera dichotoma. RNAcentral describes it as "partial external transcribed spacer". The record is from RNAcentral. Lineage: Eukaryota; Viridiplantae; Streptophyta; Magnoliopsida; Malpighiales; Passifloraceae.
CAUUCCUUUACGACAACGCGGUCCGAGCGGUUCUCCCCCGUCAGGACUGAAGGGGCAGAAUCCGCAACGGGCGCGAUCGUCAUUCUUUCCGAGGCACAAGGCAACCCGAUGGGGCAACUAGGGGAGACAAACCCCCCCGCCCGCAUGACUUUCCGCAUCCGAAACCACGAGCGACAGACAUUUGCGCCGACGCAGCCAGGUCGUGGCGUGCGUGGAACACAUGCAUCGCUACGGGGUCGGCCCUAUGCCAUGACAGGCAAAGGGCGAAGGGGCACAAGCAUCAAAUUCAAUUUCCACCGCAGUGGGUAAGCAGCACAGGAACCUAACGCGGCCACGAAAAAAGCUUCGGGUCUUUAUGUUUGAAGGGAUCGCGAGAAAGCAGUUCGGUGCGCGAAGCAUGGAGCCUGCCUUCCCAAACGAUCCU